RNAcentral lists this microRNA (21 nucleotides) under Corchorus olitorius. Its description in RNAcentral is "hvu-miR504". Lineage: Eukaryota; Viridiplantae; Streptophyta; Magnoliopsida; Malvales; Malvaceae. The record is from RNAcentral.
AAUUAAUUUGGAACGGAGGGA